Molecule: ribosomal RNA, 497 nt
Filed under: uncultured bacterium
Lineage: Bacteria
Description: partial 16S ribosomal RNA
Rfam family: Bacterial small subunit ribosomal RNA
Source: RNAcentral
GAUGAACGCUGGCGGCGUGCCUAAUACAUGCAAGUCGAGCGAACGGACGAGAAGCUUGCUUCUCUGAUGUUAGCGGCGGACGGGUGAGUAACACGUGGAUAACCUACCUAUAAGACUGGGAUAACUUCGGGAAACCGGAGCUAAUACCGGAUAAUAUUUUGAACCGCAUGGUUCAAAAGUGAAAGACGGUCUUGCUGUCACUUAUAGAUGGAUCCGCGCUGCAUUAGCUAGUUGGUAAGGUAACGGCCUACCAAGGCAACGAUGCAUAGCCGACCUGAGAGGGUGAUCAGCCACACUGGAACUGAGACACGGUCCAGACUCCUACGGGAGGCAGCAGUAGGGAAUCUUCCGCAAUGGGCGAAAGCCUGACGGAGCAACGCCGCGUGAGUGAUGAAGGUCUUCGGAUCGUAAAACUCUGUUAUUAGGGAAGAACAUAUGUGUAAGUAACUGUGCACAUCUUGACGGUACCUAAUCAGAAAGCCACGGCUAACUACGUG